UGCCAGCCGCCGCGGUAAUACGAAGGGGGCGAGCGUUAUUCGGAAUUACUGGGCGUAAAGAGCGUGUAGGUGGCCUCGUAAGUCAGUUGUUUAAUUUCCCGGCCCAACCGGGAGUCAGCGAUUGAUACUGCAAGGCUUGAGGACAAGAGAGAGAAGUGGAAUUCUCGGAGUAGCGGUAAAAUGCGUAGAUCUCGAGAGGAACACCGAUUGCGAAGGCAGCUUCUUGGCUUGUUCCUGACACUCAAACGCGAAAGCGUGGGGAGCAAACAGGAUUAGAUA
RNAcentral lists this ribosomal RNA (279 nucleotides) under uncultured bacterium. RNAcentral's name for it is "partial 16S ribosomal RNA". It matches the Rfam family "Bacterial small subunit ribosomal RNA", at positions 506 to 784 of the family's 1533-position model. The record is from RNAcentral.